Molecule: long non-coding RNA, 780 nt
Filed under: Phoenix dactylifera (date palm)
Lineage: Eukaryota; Viridiplantae; Streptophyta; Magnoliopsida; Arecales; Arecaceae
Description: long non-coding RNA (PDAC_LNC007330)
Source: RNAcentral
UUUUGAAAGCUAAGAAAAUACAGACAUAAUGGCAUGCAUCUUAAUUUAUUAAUUUUUUAUGUCGUGAAGCUGUUUGAUUCAAAAUAUUGUUUCUUAUUUCUUCUCUCGCAUCAUGGCUUCUCUAAAAAAUUGGUUUGCAUGCAUCUUGAAAGUUUUGUUCAAGUCCAGUGGAAUCUCUUAAACAAAUUGAUUGUAGAGUUGACCUUAUGUGCUCUUCAAGCUUCGCUUAUGUUCUCCCAAUGACAUGUCUUUAACUGCUGCUUCAGAACAGCUAAGAAUCUUGUUUCAUGGUCUUUCUGUAACCCUGGAUGUGCAGGCUUUCAUCAAUCUGACCUGUAAUUUGUAAAGCUUGACAUUCUUGUUGUUGCUGCUCUUCUUUGAAUUUUAUGACUUCCAAAUAUUUGAUCUUACCUAGUAUCAUGGUAACGAGCAUUUUGUAAUGAAAUAGGACGUGUUUUCCCAAAUUGAGAGUUUACAUGAGUGCUAAACUAUUAAUGUCGACUCCUUUUUUUUUUUUUGCAUGAGAGAGAGAGAAUUUAAGUCCACUAGACCCUCUUAAACAGAUAGAUUUAGAGCUGGCCUUAUGCGCUUUUCAAGCUUGGAUGGUGCUCUCUCAUUGUCAUGUCUUUGACUGCUGCCAUGGAACGGUCAGGAAUCUUGUUUUAUAAUCUGUUGGAGCAUGCAUCUGCUCUACAUGUGCAGCUUUUGUCAAGAAUCUGACUUUAAUAUAUAAUGGCUGAGGAUCUUGUUGUUGCUCUUCUUUGAAACUUUAUGACCNNN